Long non-coding RNA from Selaginella moellendorffii, 360 nucleotides. RefSeq lists it as uncharacterized. The transcript has 2 exons. The record is from RefSeq and is a predicted model, not a curated record. Lineage: Eukaryota; Viridiplantae; Streptophyta; Lycopodiopsida; Selaginellales; Selaginellaceae.
UCUCUUAGUCUGUCAGCAAAUCAUGGAGAACAAGGCUUUCUUCGUGUUGUUUUUGGCGCUCGCCAUGUUUGUGAUGAUGCUGGCCAUGGGCGUGGACGUGGGAGGAAUCACAAAGGCUGCUGCCCAGCGCUGCCAGUCGGGGUGGUAUUGGUAUGACAAUAGUUGCCACCGUUGCCAGAGGGGUUGGAGCUGGCGCAACAAUCGCUGCUGGCGCAACUGAAACCUCUUGUUUCACGGGUGCCAAAGGUCUGGAAACAAGAAUAAAGACACUGAUAACGUGUUUUAUGUAUCAUGCGAUGCUGGAUGGCAUUGCAUGAGUUCCAGCAAUAAUAUAUAAAUUGUCCAGGCCUUGAUAUAAAA